This 391-nucleotide unclassified non-coding RNA is filed under the name soil metagenome. Its description in RNAcentral is "partial contains 5.8S ribosomal RNA, internal transcribed spacer 2, and large subunit ribosomal RNA". The stretch from base 1 to 122 matches the Rfam family "5.8S ribosomal RNA", at positions 35 to 154 of the family's 154-position model. The record is from RNAcentral.
GAUGAAGAACGUAGCGAAAUGCGAUACUUGGUGUGAAUUGCAGAAUCCCGUGAACCAUCGAGUCUUUGAACGCAAGUUGCGCCCGAAGCCACUAGGCCGAGGGCACGCCUGCCUGGGCGUCACACGCCGUUGCCCCCCCAUCUACUCCUUCGGGAUUGCGGGGGGGCGGAUGAUGGCCUCCUGUGCGCCUAGCCGCGCGGUUGGCAUAAAUGCCAAGUCCUCGGCGACGCACGCCACGACAAUCGGUGGUUGCGAAACCUCGGUUGCCCGUCGUGUGCGUUCGUCGCGCAUCGAGGGCUCGAAAAAAUGCUCGGCUCCGGCUGGGCUUUCAACGCGACCCCAGGUCAGGCGGGGUUACCCGCUGAAUUUAAGCAUAUCAAUAAGCGGAGGA